RNAcentral lists this ribosomal RNA (417 nucleotides) under uncultured bacterium. Its description in RNAcentral is "bacterial SSU rRNA". It matches the Rfam family "Bacterial small subunit ribosomal RNA", at positions 58 to 507 of the family's 1533-position model. The record is from RNAcentral.
CAAGUCGAGCGGCAGCACGGUCUUCGGACGUGGUGGCGAGCGGCGGACGGCUGAGUAACGCGUGGGAAUAUACCCCAAAGUGAGGGAUAACUGCCCGAAAGGGUGGCUAAUACCGUAUGUGGUCUUCGGACUAAAGCCUUCGGGCGCUUUGGGAAUAGCCUGCGUAAGAUUAGCUAGUUGGUGAGGUAAUGGCUCACCAAGGCGACGAUCUUUAGCUGGUCUGAGAGGAUGACCAGCCAGACUGGAACUGAGACACGGUCCAGACUCCUACGGGAGGCAGCAGUAGGGAAUUUCCACAAUGGGCGAAAGCCUGAUGGAGCAACGCCGCGUGCAGGAUGAAGGCCCUCGGGUCGUGAACUGCUUUUAUGUGCGAAGAAUAUGACGGUAACACAUGAAUAAGGGUCGGCUAACUACGUG